CAGAUUGAACGCUGGCGGCAGGCCUAACACAUGCAAGUCGAGCGGUAGAGAGAAGCUUGCUUCUCUUGAGAGCGGCGGACGGGUGAGUAAUACCUAGGAAUCUGCCUGAUAGUGGGGGAUAACGUUCGGAAACGGACGCUAAUACCGCAUACGUCCUACGGGAGAAAGCAGGGGACCUUCGGGCCUUGCGCUAUAAGAUGAGCCUAGGUCGGAUUAGCUAGUUGGUGAGGUAAUGGCUCACCAAGGCUACGAUCCGUAACUGGUCUGAGAGGAUGAUCAGUCACACUGGAACUGAGACACGGUCCAGACUCCUACGGGAGGCAGCAGUGGGGAAUAUUGGACAAUGGGCGAAAGCCUGAUCCAGCCAUGCCGCGUGUGUGAAGAAGGUCUUCGGAUUGUAAAGCACUUUAAGUUGGGAGGAAGGGCAUUAACCUAAUACGUUAGUGUCUUGACGUUACCGACAGAAUAAGCACCGGCUAACUCUGUG
Molecule: ribosomal RNA, 487 nt
Filed under: uncultured bacterium
Lineage: Bacteria
Description: bacterial SSU rRNA
Rfam family: Bacterial small subunit ribosomal RNA
Source: RNAcentral